Molecule: long non-coding RNA, 561 nt
Organism: Harpia harpyja (harpy eagle)
Lineage: Eukaryota; Metazoa; Chordata; Aves; Accipitriformes; Accipitridae
Exons: 3
Source: RefSeq, a predicted model, not a curated record
CACCAAAGGGGAAUGGCCGCUCCUGAUUUACAAGCCGUAAGAACCCAGCGUUGAGGUGGAGCAUUUCCUCCAAGACAUGGGUCCAACCCAAAUACAUCGCACAGGCUGCAGCCAGAGCUUGGAACGGUGUCUCUAAAUGCUCCAGCUGGAAGUACCAGUGCUGUUGAUAGAGUAAAUUGCAAGUACAACACCGCAGUCAUCCGAAUGGCUGUCACAAGGACGCAGAGGUCCCUCUUGGAUUUUAAGCCCUGAAAGAGCAGCUUGACACCCUGUGACCUGCCUGAGACUGAUGUUCUUCAGGACAGUGGCUGGUUUUACCUUGUGUCUUGUGCAUUGAAAGAGUGUCUCCAGGGCUUUGCUAAUCACAGCAAUACCCAAGCUAAUGACAGUUCUUACUCCUCUGUAAUAUCUGACAUUUUUUGACUGUUCCUUUUGCACUUUGCCCAGUUUGUUUUCUUCACAUAUACUGGUAUUAAGCCUGUCUUUAAAAGGUAGUUGCCCUUGUAAUCUGAAGCGUGUGUUAAUUGCAUGUUUGCUAACUCAAGAACAGCUGAAUGAGCU